AACGAACGCUGGCGGCAUGCCUAACACAUGCAAGUCGAACGAGACCUUCGGGUCUAGUGGCGCACGGGUGCGUAACGCGUGGGAACCUGCCCUUAGGUUCGGAAUAACUCCCCGAAAGGGGUGCUAAUACCGGAUAAUGUCUUCGGACCAAAGAUUUAUCGCCUUUGGAUGGGCCCGCGUUGGAUUAGCUAGUUGGUAGGGUAAAAGCCUACCAAGGCGACGAUCCAUAGCUGGUCUGAGAGGAUGAUCAGCCACACUGGGACUGAGACACGGCCCAGACUCCUACGGGAGGCAGCAGUGGGGAAUAUAGGACAAUGGGCGAAAGCCUGAGCCAGCAAUGCCGCGUGAGUGAUGAAGGCCUUAGGGUUGUAAAGCUCUUUUACCCGGGAUGAUAAUGACAGUACCGGGAGAAUAAGCUCCGGCUAACUCCGUG
RNAcentral lists this ribosomal RNA (433 nucleotides) under uncultured bacterium. RNAcentral's name for it is "partial 16S ribosomal RNA". It matches the Rfam family "Bacterial small subunit ribosomal RNA", at positions 29 to 507 of the family's 1533-position model. The record is from RNAcentral.